RNAcentral lists this non-coding RNA (23 nucleotides) under Arabidopsis thaliana (thale cress). Lineage: Eukaryota; Viridiplantae; Streptophyta; Magnoliopsida; Brassicales; Brassicaceae. The record is from RNAcentral.
GUUACUAUUCAUAGGACCGUGCC